Molecule: ribosomal RNA, 876 nt
Filed under: uncultured archaeon
Lineage: Archaea
Description: bacterial SSU rRNA
Rfam family: Archaeal small subunit ribosomal RNA
Source: RNAcentral
CCUGACUGCUAUCGGAUUGAUACUAAGCCAUGCUAGUCUUUGUAGUAAUACAAGGCAUACGGCUCAGUAACGCGUAGUCAACCUACCCUAUGGACGGGGAUAAUCUCGGGAAACUGAGCAUAAUACCCGGUAGACCACUUCUCCUGGAAUGGUUAGUGGUUAAAAUGAUUCGUCGCCAUAGGAUGGGACUGCGGCCUAUCAGCUUGUUGGUGAGGUAAUGGCCCACCAAGGCGAUUACAGGUACGGGCUCUGAGAGGAGAGGCCCGGAGAUGGGUACUGAGACAAGGACCCAGGCCCUAUGGGGCGCAGCAGGCGAGAAAACUUUGCAAUGUGCGAAAGCACGACAAGGUUAAUCCGAGUGAUUUCUGCUAAAGGAAUCUUUUGUUAGUUCUAAAAAUACUAGUGAAUAAGGGGUGGGCAAGUUCUGGUGUCAGCCGCCGCGGUAAAACCAGCACCUCAAGUGGUCAGGAGGAUUAUUGGGCCUAAAGCAUCCGUAGCCUGUUCUAUAAGUUUGCGGUUAAAUCUAUACGCUCAACGUAUAGGCUGCCGUAAAUACUGUAGAACUAGGGAGUGGGAGAGGUAGACGGUACUCGAUAGGAAGGGGUAAAAUCCUUUGAUCUAUUGAUGACCACCUGUGGCGAAGGCGGUCUACCAGAACACGUUCGACGGUGAGGGAUGAAAGCUGGGGGAGCAAACCGGAUUAGAUACCCGGGUAGUCCCAGCUGUAAACGAUGCAGACUCGAUGAUGCAAUGGCAUAGAGCUAUUGCAGUAUCGCAGGGAAGCCGUUAAGUCUGCCGCCUGGGAAGUACGUACGCAAGUAUGAAACUUAAAGGAAUUGGCGGGGGAGCACCACCAAGGGGUGAAGCCUGCGGUUC